UCCGAUUAGCUAGUUGGUGGGGUAAAGGCCUACCAAGGCGACGAGGUAGCUGGUCUGAGAGGAUGAACAGCCACACUGGGACUGAGACACGGCCCAGACUCCCGGGAGGCAGCAGUGGGGAAUAUUGGACAAUGGGGGGAACCCUGAUCCAGCAAUGCCGUGUGUGAAGAAGGCCUGAGGGUUGUAAAGCACUUUCAGUGGGGAGGAGGAUUAAUAGGAAGAGCUAAUUAAUUGGACGUUACCCACAGAAGAAGCACCGGCUAACUCCGUGCCAGCCCGCGGUAAUACGGAGGGUGCGAGCGUUAAUCGGAAUUACUGGGCGUAAAGGGUGCGUGUGGUCAAUUAAGUUAGAUGUAAAAACCCUGGGCUUAACCUGGGGCUGAGAUUUAAUAGGUUGACUGGAGUAUUGGAGAGGGUAGUGGAAUUUCCGGUGUAGCGGUGAAAUGCGUAGAUCGGAAGGAACACCAGUGGCGAAGGCGGCUACCUGGCCAGAUACUGGCACUGAAGCGAAAGCGUGGGGAGCAAACAGGAUUAGAUACCCUGGUAGUCCACGCUGUAAACGAUGUACUAGCCGUUGGUCAUAUUAAGAUGAUAAGUGGCGCAGCAAACGCGAUAAGUGACCGC
Molecule: ribosomal RNA, 624 nt
Filed under: uncultured bacterium
Lineage: Bacteria
Description: bacterial SSU rRNA
Rfam family: Bacterial small subunit ribosomal RNA
Source: RNAcentral